GGAGAGGUACCGAAGUGGCCAUAACGGCGCCGACUCGAAAUCGGAUGGGGGACUAACAUCCCCACGAGGGUUCGAAUCCCUCCCUCUCCGCCA
Molecule: transfer RNA, 93 nt
Filed under: Methylococcus sp. EFPC2
Lineage: Bacteria; Pseudomonadati; Pseudomonadota; Gammaproteobacteria; Methylococcales; Methylococcaceae
Description: tRNA-Ser
Rfam family: tRNA
About the family: Transfer RNA (tRNA) molecules are approximately 80 nucleotides in length.
Source: RNAcentral